Molecule: ribosomal RNA, 497 nt
Filed under: uncultured bacterium
Lineage: Bacteria
Description: partial 16S ribosomal RNA
Rfam family: Bacterial small subunit ribosomal RNA
Source: RNAcentral
GAUGAACGCUGGCGGCGUGCCUAAUACAUGCAAGUCGAGCGAACAGACGAGGAGCUUGCUCCUCUGACGUUAUCGGCGGACGGGUGAGUAACACGUGGAUAACCUACCUAUAAGACUGGGAUAACUUCGGGAACCCGGAGCUACUACCGGAUAACAUGUUGAACCGCAUGGUUCAACAGUGAAAGACGGUCUUGCUGUCACUUAUAGAUUGAUCCGCGCCGCAUUAGCUAGUUGUUAAGGUAACGGCUUACCAAGGCAACGAUGCGUAGCCGACCUGCGAGGGUGACCGGCCACCUUGGCACUGAGACACGGUCCCGACCCAGACGAGAGGCACCAGUAGGGAAUCUGCCGCAAGGGGCGAAAGCCUGACGUGGCAACGCCGCGUGAGUGAUGAAGGUCUACGGAUCGGAAAACACUGUUAUUAGGGAAGAACAGAUGUGUAAGUAAGUAUGCACGUCUUGACGGGACAUACUCAGAAAGGCAGGGCUAGCUACAUG